UGUGACCGUGAGCCCGCGGUAACGGGGACGCAGCAAGGAGCGGGAGCCGGGAGUUAACGGUAACGGCUGUAAUGGCAUUGCGCCGGAACCACGCGGCACCGCCCCGCUCAGAAGGACGGGUCGCCGAAGCCGAAGCGCUGCUGGGCGGCGUGGAGCUCCUGCAGCAGGGUCGAGUCGUCCAAGCCGAGCUGCGGAUUCUCCACUGGAACUGCGGUGGGAAGGACCACAGCCAGGACUUGUAACUGCACCAAGCUGGAGGGCUGACACCACGGAUCCACUCUACCUGACUAAAGAAGGCACCUAGAGCUGGUGACAGCAGAGAAGAAAGGACCUUUUUGGCCAACUCUUAAGAAGAAUGUGUAAGCUGUGUGUGAUAACCUGCUAGGAAUUGCUGCGGCGUGGAAGGAUAACAGCUACCUGAAGGUCACCCAGGCAAUGGCCCAGAGUCUCAAUCUGAUGAACUGCUGGGUUUGUACAGCAAUGCCCAGGAAUGGGAAAAUGGAGCUUCCCUUAAUGGGAAUUCCCAUUCCUUAUUUAAAUUGGAGCUGGCCAUAUGACAAUUUCUAGGUUGAGCCUCUUUCUGGGAAUGACACAAUAUGGUGGAAGGUACCAAAAGGGAAAUGUUUGCUGCGACAGUCCGAAACUAAACUCCCCAGUGGAGAAACACUGUGCUGGGGGAUGACAACCCACCAUUGCCUUCCCCACAGAGCCCAAUCCCUGAGCACGUGUGUUAUAAGAACAGCACCUUUCCCAGUUACGAGUUACAAGCACCACCCUGGGAAGCUUUAGUCCUGGAAAAAGGGCAAGGGGAAGUGAGUAUGGGGGAAUUUCACAAUUUAAAUGCCACCAAACGUCCAGGGGAUGAGCGGUGCCCCCUCCCAGUGGUGACAGCGUUAAACCACAGUUCCUGGUUCCAUUCUGGAUGUACCCCUGCUGGGCUGUGGUGGCUGUGUGGAGAUAGACACACGAGGAAAUGGUCACCACAGAGUUGGAGGGGCGCUUUGUACGCUGGGGGCACUGACACCAUACAUCUCCAUACAUAACUGUACCAAAGCCCCGAUGGGAGUUCUGAGAACCCCAGGGAAAUUAGUGAAGAGGGCAUCAAACCCUGUGGUAGAAAAGCCUGCCGGGUUCAAUAGCUUUGUUAGAUGGUUCGUUCCAUCUCUUGGGGUAAGUGAACUGGAGAAGGCGAUCGUUAAUAUUUCAACCACCUUAGAAAUAAUAGAAAAUGCAGCCGCUGAUGCAAUGAGGUCAUCACAAAUAGAGCUUUUGAUGCUUAGUAAAGCAGUGCUGCAAAACAGAAUGGCUCUGGACCUCCGAACGGCUAAAGAGGGAGGGGUUUGUGUGAUAAUUAAUCAGAGCUGUUGUGCUUAUGUAGACAGGACUCAGAAAGUCGAGACGGACCCACAAGCCAUACGAGAGCACUCUAGGCUGCUUCAUUAGGUAUCGAUGCAUGACACCUCGUUUGGGUUUACAGAGUUAUGGGAACGGCUCCCCAGUUGGUUACCUAAUUUUGAGUGGCUAAAGCAACUCUUUGUGGCCUGUAUUAUUAUAACAAUCAUGCUCAUUUAAACGUGCAUUGUGAUGA
Lagopus leucura (white-tailed ptarmigan) is the source of this 1588-nucleotide long non-coding RNA. RefSeq lists it as uncharacterized. The transcript has 2 exons. Lineage: Eukaryota; Metazoa; Chordata; Aves; Galliformes; Phasianidae. The record is from RefSeq and is a predicted model, not a curated record.